GUGGGAGCUGGCUUGCCUGCGAUGGCGGUGUGCCAGUCACCAUUGUAUUAACUGACCCACCGCCAUCGCAGGCAAGCCAGCUCCCAC
This 87-nucleotide unclassified non-coding RNA is filed under the name Pseudomonas poae. Lineage: Bacteria; Pseudomonadati; Pseudomonadota; Gammaproteobacteria; Pseudomonadales; Pseudomonadaceae. The record is from RNAcentral.